This 253-nucleotide ribosomal RNA is filed under the name uncultured bacterium. RNAcentral's name for it is "partial 16S ribosomal RNA". It matches the Rfam family "Bacterial small subunit ribosomal RNA", at positions 524 to 776 of the family's 1533-position model. The record is from RNAcentral.
UACGGGGGGGGCUAGCGUUGUUCGGAAUUACUGGGCGUAAAGGGCGCGUAGGCGGCCUACUAAGUCGGACGUGAAAUCCCUCGGCUCAACCGGGGAACUGCGUCCGAUACUGGUGGGCUUGAAUCCGGGAGAGGGAUGUGGAAUUCCAGGUGUAGCGGUGAAAUGCGUAGAUAUCUGGAGGAACACCGGUGGCGAAGGCGGCUCUCUGGGACGGUACUGACGCUGAGACGCGAAAGCGUGGGGAGCGAACAGG